CCUUCUUUUUCGCGCUUUUUCCGGAUUUACUGGGCGUAAAGCGCGUGUAGGCGGGCGAUUAAGUUGGGUGUGAAAGCCCGGGGCUCAACCCCGGGGUGCCGCCCAAGACUGGUCGCCUUGAGGACGGAAGAGGGGAGUGGAAUUCCUGGUGUAGCGGUGAAAUGCGUAGAGAUCAGGAGGAACACCCGUGGCGAAGGCGGCUCCCUGGUCCGUUUCUGACGCUGAGACGCGAAAGCGCGGGGAGCGAACGGGA
This 253-nucleotide ribosomal RNA is filed under the name uncultured prokaryote. Its description in RNAcentral is "partial 16S ribosomal RNA". It matches the Rfam family "Bacterial small subunit ribosomal RNA", at positions 525 to 777 of the family's 1533-position model. The record is from RNAcentral.